This is a non-coding RNA of Xenopus laevis (African clawed frog), 658 nucleotides long. NCBI's taxonomy places the organism in Eukaryota, Metazoa, Chordata, Amphibia, Anura, Pipidae. The record is from the annotation of a RefSeq genome assembly.
GUGGCAAAAGGACCUGACUGUGUAUGCCCAGUUUAAGACUGAUGCAAGGAAAUGGAGCCCUGAGGAUGAGAAGAGGAUUAGAUACAAAGAAUAAGCAAGAGUGCCAAAAACAUAGUCGAGGAAGGACCAAGGUCAGAGGCAUGCGGCUGGAAUUGGAGUCGAGGUUAGGCAGAGGUCAAGGUUGUGUGGUUGGUAACUCUAUAAACUCAAAGGAACAAUAUAUUUCUGGACAUGUUGGAGAAAAUGUGACAUUAACCUGUGAAUUCUCCACUAGCAGUGAAACUCCUUACCUUUUCUGGUAUUGCCAAUAUCCCAAUAAAAUGGAAUAUCUACUUUAUAGAGGAGCUAAGGGCUAUUCUAGCAUUACGCGUGAUGGGAAUUAUGAAAAAGGAAAGUUUGAUUCCAGUGCUGAUGAUACAUCCACUAAAUUAACCAUCUUCAGUCUGACUGUGGAAGAUUCUGCUGUGUACUUGUGUGCUCUUAGCGUUACAGCACAAUGGUGUCUGAACAUUACAGUUCAGUGUAAAAACCUUCCUCUAUAAAUUUACUAUAGAUCCAGCAGGCGGCACCGUUCUUGUACAGAAACACAAGCAUAUUCUAUUCAUAAACGUAUUGAAUGUAAAGUCAAGAUUGUAAAGACAAACAAUUUUUAUCUAAU